This 101-nucleotide small nuclear RNA is filed under the name Nippostrongylus brasiliensis. Lineage: Eukaryota; Metazoa; Nematoda; Chromadorea; Rhabditida; Heligmosomidae. The record is from RNAcentral.
GUUCCUCCUGAACAUAUACUAAAAUUGGAACAAUACAGAGAUGAUUAGCAUGGCCCCUGCGCAAGGAUGACACGUAAAAUAUUCUAGUUUGAAAAUUUUCA